Non-coding RNA from Pelobates cultripes (western spadefoot toad), 215 nucleotides. The record is from the annotation of a GenBank genome assembly. Lineage: Eukaryota; Metazoa; Chordata; Amphibia; Anura; Pelobatidae.
CCCAGCUCGUCAUGCUAGAGCACUUUUUCAAUGGGCUCCCCAACGACAAGGCGACGACGCAUUCGUAUGUCAUCCAGAUCAACUUUUGAUGCCUACCAUGGGUAAUGGGGAAUCAGGGUUUGAUUCCGGAGAGGGAGCCAGAGAAACUGCUGCCACAUGCAAGGAUGGCAGCGGGCGCGCAAAUGACCCACUCCCAACGCGGGAAGGUAGUGAUG